GACCCCAGGUCAGGCGGGGUUACCCGCUGAAUUUAAGCAUAUCAAUAGG
This 49-nucleotide ribosomal RNA is filed under the name Parietaria hespera. RNAcentral's name for it is "partial 26S ribosomal RNA". The record is from RNAcentral. Lineage: Eukaryota; Viridiplantae; Streptophyta; Magnoliopsida; Rosales; Urticaceae.